This 855-nucleotide long non-coding RNA is filed under the name Homo sapiens (human). RNAcentral's name for it is "HSALNT0176044". Lineage: Eukaryota; Metazoa; Chordata; Mammalia; Primates; Hominidae. The record is from RNAcentral.
CAUCGAUGUCGGCCUUGGGCAGGCUCACAUCCACAUCUGGACCUUCUCCUUUGAAGCCAGGCAUGCUGAAUUUGGGCAUUUUCACCUUGGGCAUCUUCAGGUGCCAGUCUGGGCCUUGAACGUCCACAUCUGGGACAUCAAUGUCCACUUUGGGGUCCCUGAUGUCAACUUCGGGGCCCUUGAGGUCGCCUUCCACUUUGGGCAGAGAAAUGUCCAUGUCGCCCUUCACCUUUGGACCUUUCAGAUUCAGGUCAACUUCAGGCAUAGAGAUCUUCGGUGCCUUGAGGUGUAAGUCAGGCAUUUUAAAUUUGGGGCCCUUCAGUUUCCCUUCUGGACCAUGAAUAUCAAUAUCAGGAGUGUCAAUGUCCACUUUGGGUCCUGAGACAUCAAUGUCAGCUUUGGGCAAAUUAACAUCCACUUCUGGGCCCUCUCCUUUAAAUCCUGGCAUGCUGAAUUUGGGCAUUUUCACCUUGGGCAUCUUCAGGUGCCAGUCUGGGCCAUGAACAUCCACAUCUGGGGCAUCAAUGUCCACUUUGGGCCCUCUGAUGUCAACAUCUGGCACUUUCAUUUCACCUUCUACCUUGGGAACAGACACAUCUGGGGCAUCAAUGUCCAUUUUGGGUCCUUUGAUGUCAACAUCUGGCACUUUCAUUUCACCUUCUACCUUGGGCACAGACACAUCCAUAUCCCCUUUGACUUUGGGGCCUUUCAGGUGUAAGUCCACAUCAGGCAUGGAGAUCUUGGGGGCCUUGAAGUGCAUCUCAGGCAUCUUAAACUUGGGCCCUUUCAACUUUGCAUCAGGACACUCCAGAUCAACAUCGGGCAUGGAGAUCUUGGGGGCCUUGAAAUGCAUCU